GAAUAACUCCGGGAAACCGGGGCUAAUGCCGGAUAAUAUUUAGAACCGCAUGGUUCUAAAGUGAAAGAUGGUUUUACUAUCACUUAUAGAUGGACCCGCGCCGUAUUAGCUAGUUGGUGGGGUAAUGGCUUACCAAGGCAACGAUACGUAGCCGACCUGAGAGGGUGAUCGGCCACACUGGAACUGAGACACGGUCCAGACUCCUACGGGAGGCAGCAGUAGGGAAUCUUCCGCAAUGGGCGAAAGCCUGACGGAGCAACGCCGCGUGAGUGAUGAAGGUCUUCGGAUCGUAAAACUCUGUUAUUAGGGAAGAACAAAUGUGUAAGUAACUGUGCACGUCUUGACGGUACCUAAUCAGAAAGCCACGGCUAACUACGUGCCAGCAGCCGCGGUAAUACGUAGGUGGCAAGCGUUAUCCGGAAUUAUUGGGCGUAAAGCGCGCGUAGGCGGUUUCUUAAGUCUGAUGUGAAAGCCCACGGCUCAACCGUGGAGGGUCAUUGGAAACUGGGAAACUUGAGUGCAGAAGAGGAAAGUGGAAUUCCAUGUGUAGCGGUGAAAUGCGCAGAGAUAUGGAGGAACACCAGUGGCGAAGGCGACUUUCUGGUCUGUAACUGACGCUGAUGUGCGAAAGCGUGGGGAUCAAACAGGAUUAGAUACCCUGGUAGUCCACGCCGUAAACGAUGAGUGCUAAGUGUUAGGGGGUUUCCGCCCCUUAGUGCUGCAGCUAACGCAUUAAGCACUCCGCCUGGGGAGUACGACCGCAAGGUUGAAACUCAAAGGAAUUGACGGGGACCCGCACAAGCGGUGGAGCAUGUGGUUUAAUUCGAAGCAACGCGAAGAACCUUACCAAAUCUUGACAUCCUUUGACAACUCUAGAGAUAGAGUCUUCCCCUUCGGGGGACAAAGUGACAGGUGGUGCAUGGUUGUCGUCAGCUCGUGUCGUGAGAUGUUGGGUUAAGUCCCGCAACGAGCGCAACCCUUAAGCUUAGUUGCCAGCAUUAAGUUGGGCACUCUAAGUUGACUGCCGGUGACAAACCGGAGGAAGGUGGGGAUGACGUCAAAUCAUCAUGCCCCUUAUGAUUUGGGCUACACACGUGCUACAAUGGACAAUACAAAGGGCAGCUAAACCGCGAGGUCAUGCAAAUCCCAUAAAGUUGUUCUCAGUUCGGAUUGUAGUCUGCAACUCGACUACAUGAAGCUGGAAUCGCUAGUAAUCGUAGAUCAGCAUGUUACGGUGA
This 1238-nucleotide ribosomal RNA is filed under the name Staphylococcaceae bacterium 11_Am_8. RNAcentral's name for it is "bacterial SSU rRNA". It matches the Rfam family "Bacterial small subunit ribosomal RNA", at positions 141 to 1365 of the family's 1533-position model. Lineage: Bacteria; Bacillati; Bacillota; Bacilli; Caryophanales; Staphylococcaceae. The record is from RNAcentral.